AAUUCCGAGACAGGUGCUGCAUGGCUGUCGUCAGCUCGUGCCGUGAGGUGUUGGGUUAAGUCCCGCAACGAGCGCAAUCCCUAUUUGCCAGUUGCUACCAGGUAAUGCUGGGCACUCUGGUGAGACUGCCCCGGUUAACGGGGAGGAAGUGGGGACGACGUCAAGUCAUCAUGGCCCUUACGCCUAGGGCUACACACGUACUACAAUGGCGCAUACAAAGGGCAGCGAUACCGCGAGGUGGAGCCAAUCCCAAAAAGUGCGUCCCAGUCCGGAUUGCAGUCUGCAACUCGACUGCAUGAAGUUGGAAUCGCUAGUAAUUCGAGAUCAGCAUGCUCGGGUGAAUGCGUUCCCGGGCCUU
Molecule: ribosomal RNA, 358 nt
Filed under: uncultured Desulfovibrio sp.
Lineage: Bacteria; Pseudomonadati; Thermodesulfobacteriota; Desulfovibrionia; Desulfovibrionales; Desulfovibrionaceae
Description: bacterial SSU rRNA
Rfam family: Bacterial small subunit ribosomal RNA
Source: RNAcentral